Neofelis nebulosa (Clouded leopard) is the source of this 521-nucleotide long non-coding RNA. RefSeq lists it as uncharacterized. The record is from RefSeq and is a predicted model, not a curated record. Lineage: Eukaryota; Metazoa; Chordata; Mammalia; Carnivora; Felidae. The transcript is spliced from 2 exons.
CCGCUUACGCCACUUCCGGGAACGCUGGAAGAAGGCGUGUCCCCGCUGGCAGCUGGAGCGCGGCCUAGGCCUGGCGGCCCCGUUGCUAAGCAACACCGACGCCCUGGCGCGCGGGGGAGCGGAUCCCGCGCUACCCGUGCGCGCUGCCAGGGCCACGGACCCGGCGCAGGUACGGCUUACACCCGCAAGGCGACAGCGGUUUCCCCCCAGCGUGUUUAAGUUUUGCAUCAAAAAGUCAUCAAAGGGAUGCGAGGGACUCUUGCUUUCGGCUCGGGUGGUGAUCUCACAGGGAAACUUCAGCAAGAACCAUCUCCGCAACUGCAGCAGGCCCUGGCCUCCCUCUCCUGACAGUGUCACUCUCCACCAAUCUGUGGCCAAGUCCCCAACCUGGAUGGCCACAGCCAGCACCAUCUGCAGGGCCUAGAAGUGUUCUGUUCUGCCUUCUGUUCGUUCCAGGUGUGCAAAAUAAACCAUCCAAAGGAAGGAGCACUUCCUGAAUGCUCACAAGGAGUGAGACUCUA